GCCAAAGGCAGGCGCUAAACCGCUGCGCCACCCAGGGAUCCCAGGAUAAGAGUUUUUAGCAUUGGCCUGGAAAAAGAACACUUUCAUCCGUAUCUCCUGGGCCACUGCUAAAGGAAGGUUUAUUUAUGAACACCCAGAUGACGUGCUCCAUGGAGUGCCAUCCAGAAGGGUCCAGCGCUCAGGAGGAGCUUCUAUCCCCAAGGAGUUGGAAUGCACCACCCCGUGCCCCUACCCGCAUUGGGAUGCCUUCACCAACCCAGAAACUUGCUCAACUUUGUUGUUCAGGAAAUUCCGUGGAUUUGGGGAGUUCUGUGCUGGGAGCCCAGGGAAGAGACCCAAGUCAUCAUCUACAACAUCCGGGAUCAGAGAUCCCUCCUGCAACCGGGGUGGGGCUCAGGUGCCCCUGAGGAGGACACCUGGGGCAUUGGUGCCACCUCAGCCCUCCACUUGGAUGUCUCCCAAACUUAAUGGCCAAAAAGGAGCUCUUGCAUUUUCCUCAGAAACCUGCUCCCCACUCAGGUCUCCUCCAUCUUGGGAAAUGACAUCUUGAAGUCCUGUGUUCUCUGUGACUGGUCCCAGUUACCCCAGGGGGCCCCUUCCGCUCUCCUCAGUCACCCAGGCCUCUUGCUUCUGCCUCCCCACCAGAGCCCCAGCUCCCUGUGCCCACCCCGCAGAGCCAGCCGGCCGCACCGCUGCUCUGGACUCCUGGGUCUCACCUGCCCUGGCUUAGUCUCGCGACUUUGGGGGACCCAAACCUGCGGGGACUCGGGGACUCCCACCUCCUAUGUUUGCCCUGAUCUUCCUACCAACCACCGUCAAGCUCCAGCUAACGCUUUGGUACGCAGCCUCCUUGGCACGCCGGCCCGGCGCCCUGCGCUCCCGGGGCCUGGGCGGACCCGCUCCCGCACCUGCCGGGCCAGCCCCUGGCCUCUGGCCUCCGCCCGCC
Long non-coding RNA from Canis lupus familiaris (dog), 946 nucleotides. RefSeq lists it as uncharacterized. The transcript has 4 exons. Lineage: Eukaryota; Metazoa; Chordata; Mammalia; Carnivora; Canidae. The record is from RefSeq and is a predicted model, not a curated record.